GUGUCAGCAGCCGCGGUAAUACAGAGACUGCAAGCGUUAUUCGGAUUCACUGGGCGUAAAGGGUGCGCAGGCGGCCGAAUGUGUCAGGUGUGAAAGCCCGAGGCUUAACCUCGGAAUUGCAUUUGAAACUAUUCGGCUAGAGUAUUGGAGAGGGUAACGGAAUUCACGGUGUAGCAGUGAAAUGCGUAGAUAUCGUGAGGAACACCAGAGGCGAAGGCGGUUACCUGGACAAUUACUGACGCUCAGGCACGAAAGCAUGGGUAGCAAAAGGGAUUAGAUACCCCUGUAGUCC
Molecule: ribosomal RNA, 292 nt
Filed under: uncultured bacterium
Lineage: Bacteria
Description: partial 16S ribosomal RNA
Rfam family: Bacterial small subunit ribosomal RNA
Source: RNAcentral